RNAcentral lists this transfer RNA (64 nucleotides) under Goniomonas pacifica. It matches the Rfam family "tRNA", at positions 5 to 66 of the family's 71-position model. Rfam says of the family: Transfer RNA (tRNA) molecules are approximately 80 nucleotides in length. The record is from RNAcentral. Lineage: Eukaryota; Cryptophyceae; Goniomonadida; Goniomonadaceae. RNAcentral also lists the same sequence under 2 other names.
GGCUUAGCUCAGUGGUAGAGCAGCGCUUUUGUAAAGCGAAGGUCAUCGGUUCAAAUCCGUUAGC